Molecule: ribosomal RNA, 504 nt
Filed under: uncultured bacterium
Lineage: Bacteria
Description: partial 16S ribosomal RNA
Rfam family: Bacterial small subunit ribosomal RNA
Source: RNAcentral
AUUGAACGCUGGCGGCAGGCCUAACACAUGCAAGUCGAACGGUAGCGCAGAGAGCUUGCUCUCGGGUGACGAGUGGCGGACGGGUGAGUAACGUCUGGGAAACUGCCCGAUGGAGGGGGAUAACUACUGGAAACGGUAGCUAAUACCGCAUAACGUCGCAAGACCAAAGUGGGGGACCUUCGGGCCUCACACCAUCGGAUGUGCCCAGAUGGGAUUAGCUAGUAGGUGGGGUAAUGGCUCACCUAGGCGACGAUCCCUAGCUGGUCUGAGAGGAUGACCAGCCACACUGGAACUGAGACACGGUCCAGACUCCUACGGGAGGCAGCAGUGGGGAAUAUUGCACAAUGGGCGCAAGCCUGAUGCAGCCAUGCCGCGUGUAUGAAGAAGGCCUUCGGGUUGUAAAGUACUUUCAGCGGGGAGGAAGGCGGUGGAGUUAAUAACUUCACCGAUUGACGUUACCCGCAGAAGAAGCACCGGCUAACUCCGUGCCAGCCGCCGCUGUAA